This 77-nucleotide non-coding RNA is filed under the name Cyanobacterium sp. HL-69. The record is from RNAcentral. Lineage: Bacteria; Bacillati; Cyanobacteriota; Cyanophyceae; Chroococcales; Geminocystaceae.
UUGAGCCGUAUGCUUGGAAACUUGCACGUACGGUUCUUAGGGGAGAAAAGGGGAGUAAUCCCCUCUACUUACCCGAC